CCGCCUUCGGAGCUUAGACAUUACCUGGCACUUCAGCUGUUUACACUUAGGCGUUUGCUUUUUUAACUCCAGUUGUUACAAAGUGACAGCUCCACUUCCUACAGCACUUAAACUGAAAUCUGACAGACUUUAUGUUAUUACACUUCUGCUCAUUAGCAGCUCUGAUAGUGUAAAGGUAUUCACUUCUUGAGAGUCUCUGAGUGCUGUGGUGUUUUAUAAGGGCAAACUGCCGUCCUGGAGGCAUCUUCUGUAGCAGGAGCUAUACCACAAAGGCAGUUUUGUGAUUUUUGUCUGUAUGCAGGUUGUUAAAGUGGUGCAAGAUGCCAUCAUAAGUCUUUGACCUUCUGAUCUACACAUCUGUAAAAUUGGAAACAUCAGAAGCUUUUAACCGAAUUUUUUCUUUUUUUUUGGCAGCAGAUGUUCCUCUCCACCCUGCCCAUCGUUGCGGGUGCCUGAGUGACGGAGAGGCCGCCCAUCAAAAUGCCAUCAGGACCCUGCUGGCCACCAGAUGAACGCAUGCCCAGAAUGCAUCAUGUGGGGGCUGUUAAGUCCCAUUUACCUCUUCCUCCCGUCUGCCACUUCCCUUUACCAUCAGCUUGUGUCCUCGUAACUCUCCAUCACCGAAGCAGACAUAACAAAGCAUUCAGCGACACUUUUUCUGGUUUGUGCUGACAAACCAACUUAACAAAAGAUGAGUCUCGACCCCUGGCUGGCUCAGUAUAAAAGACCGCGGCAGACGGAGGUGUGGGCAUGUGAAUAAAUCGAUUAGCAGAGCGCUUGACGGAUGGGAUUUACAGGAGGUCUCGACGCACCAGAGAAUUAAUUUUGCUGGGAGAACAUGGUUCUGCCAGGUUCAUUCGUCUUGGCGGGGAAUUUGGCAGUUUCCCCAGGUCUGGGGGCUCAAUUAACGAACGGCUGCAGCGGUUUGGGGAGGAAACAGCUUUGUUGAGGAAUAUGCCACAUCCAUGUGUCAGGCACAUUUUAAUGAUAACGGAUUUUAGGAAUGCAAAAUGAGAAAGGGAAAGGGGAGGUUAGGUGGGUGAGGUUAAGCUUUCAAUGCUGGAUUGGUGGGGGAUGGGGUUUUAAGAGGAACACCAGGACAAAGAGACAGGUAAAAACAUCUUGUGGAGCACGACGUGUACGUGUUAUUAAACAACUGACUAAUAUACACAGCAUUACACCAUGGACCCAACAAAUACACUGUACUGCAAAAAGCAUUUGCUUGUCUGCCUUCACAUAUGAACUUGAGUGACAUCCCAUUCUUAUUCAAUGGGUUUAAUGUGAUGACAGCCCACCGUUUGCAGCUAUAGCAGGUUCAGUUCUCUGGGAUGGCUUUCCCUGAAGGUUCCCUGAGGUUUAGGAGUGUGUUUAUGGGAAUUUUAGGAGCAUAUUUGUGAGGUCAGACACUGAUGAUGACCGUGAUGAAAGCCUGGCUCGCAGUCACAGCUCUAAUUCAUCGCAAAAGUUGUUCUAUCAGGUUGAGGUCAGGACUCUGUGCAGACCCGUCAAGUUCUUCCACACCAGACUCACUCAUCCAUGUCUUUAUGGGCCUUGCUUUGUGCACUGGUGAGAAGGGGCCAUCCCCAAACUGUUCUCACAAAGUUGGGAGCAUCAAAUUAUCCAAAGUCUCUUGUUAUGCUGAAGCAUUAAGAAUUCCUUUCACUGGAACUUCCAACCCCAACUCCUGAAAAACAACCCCAUGCUAUAUAAAUGCGCCUCAGCAUCUGCUGACCCCGCUUUUACGUGGCCUGCCACAUUGUGGCUGAGUUGCUGUCAUUGCCAAUUGUUUCCACUUUGUUAUAAUACCACUAAGAGCUGACUGUGGAAUAUUUAGCAGUGAGGAAAUUUCAGGAAUGGACUUGUUGCACAGGUGGCAUCUCAUCAAAGGACCACUCUGGAAUUUAGUGAGCUCCUGAGAGUAACCCAUUCUCUCACAAGUGUUUGUAGAAGCAGUCUGCACGUCUCUGUACUUGAUUUUAUGCACCUGUGACCAUGGAAGUGAUUGAAACACCUAAAUUAUGUGAUUUGGAUGGGUGAGUGAAUACUUCUAGCAAUAUAGCAUAUAAGGCCAAUAUUCAUUUUACUUUUGAUGCUGUCUCCACCACCUCUACACUCAUACAGCAUGUCAGUCGCAGAGUAGUUCACUGUAAAGCAUCCAAUGUUUUUUCAUCCUUUGCUGUAAAUGAGAAGAUGGAAAUGAAGAUUUAAGCAACUUAAAGCAACAGAUAUUUUUUUCCUUCAUCUUUUGUAUACAGAGUUAUUUACGCAGUAAUUUUAUCAGCUUUGUCUUUCAAAAAAAAAAGGUUUUCCAUAUGAAAUUUGCACAAAUAUGUUCCUUUAACAGGAUGUGGUCUGUCCAUUUCAAGAUGAGUAUUUUCAGUGCAGUGCAUGGGCUCUGCAGAGUAGCUUUGGAUGAUUAAAAGGUCAAAAUAUUCUUCAUUCACUGGGCCUUCAGUUAAUCCACUGUCUAAAACAAGCGGUUUUAACACCUCUGCCUUAAGCCAACUUUCUUCUGACUGGAGGAGUUAAUUGAAAAGGCCGCUGUGGUGACCAAACCAGCAUGCUUUAGUUGACCAGACUGGGAAUAUCUGCUGUCUUUGACAUCAUACAGAUAUCCAAAACCAAGCUUCUAAAGCAGCCUCAGAUAGCCUCAAAGGGAUUCUUUUUAUUAUUUGAAGCCGAGUUUGAACAUGUUUAUGCAUUCACUAUUGUUAAAGUAUAAGUAAAUAUAUGACUAAAACUAAGGAUAAAUAUGAUGGGCCUGCUUUAAAUUCUUAAGUACCUUUCUUUGGAAGUAAAAGGCAGGUGAAUCUAGACUUCCACAGACUGAGCAUUAAUGCAGAGUUGCUUGUUGUGUUGAAGCAUCUUUGCACUCACUCUUCCCUUCCCACUAUCUCAGGUUCCGAUCCCUCAACCUGAACAUUUCAGUGGAUGAUUUAUGUAGUAGUGUUGCUCUGUGACCUCAAAAUCCGCCCCAUCCAUACCGCACCUGUCACUGCGCCACUGCCUGCAUGCUUACUGAAAAGCAAGCCAUCCAUGCAAAAUGGCAAUUUUCUACUCACCUAGAGAAUAAAAAAAAGGAUCCAAUCCAUUCAGAGGCAAAACAAGGAAAAUUCUAUGAUAUAUAGAGCAGGUGCGCGAGGCCUCGGCCCACUGCUAACGAGGGAGCUGAACUGCACGCACCGUUGACCACAACAUCUGUCGUUUUCACUGAUGCAGAGUUUGGUUUUACCUUUGCAGCACAGUUUGCACGGCAAGAGACAGGAGAUGAUAAAGUACAUAAGAUGGAUACAGAUGGAAGAGACCCGGCCCGAUUUCAGUUGGGGGGCACAAAGUUCCCAUGCUGUGCCUUGGUAGCAUAUGAUGCAUGAGAAUCCACCACGAGCAGCAAAGAGUUAUGCUUGUCUGCCUGGGCCCAAGGUGAGGCCCGGCCUGACCCAGUUCACCAUCCCAGGUGGAAACCCUAAUGAGCUCAUCAGGCCUAACGAAGCUUAACAAGCUUCUAAUUGGCAGCGUUAUGAUGUCCCCGAAGGUCAGAGUGCAGGAUCCUGUGCCAAGAGCAGGAAAGGCUUUCACUUCCUGCCAAGAGCAAUCAUGUGACUGACUAAUAUCCCUUUGUGUAAACAAAGUCGGGAAAGGGCAAGAGGAACUUCUUACAUAAGCAAAAAGUGGAGUGUGGUAGCUUACAGAGAAGUUGUGGUGAGGUUUGACAACAAAGCUGCAGCCUCACAAGUGGAAAACAAAGACGUAGAAAAAUAUCACCGGUAUAAAUCAUGCUUGACAGUGUAAUCUAAUACAAGAGAGAAUAUCGUCGCCUAUAACUUUACAGAUUAUAAAAUAAAAAACAACAAACAUAUAAAAAUUUACUACCAGUAAAUAACAAGCAGUUAUAAAAGUUUGAUCGGAUACAGAAAUCUCACUUUUUCCUUUAGCAAUCAAAAAAAAACAAAAACAAAAAAAAGAGCAGAGGCUGUUCGGGUGCCUGACAAACAUUUCUGUGGUGAAAUGCUGCCACCUACUGGUCACUAUGCACAGAUACAACGUCAAAAAAAUCAGUCCACUGAAAGAAAGAAAAAACGAAUUUCCACAUUAUGGCAUAAUUGAGAUAAAAUUAAAACAUGCCAUCUGCUAUAUUUAAGAAUACACAACCCCAAUAAACCAGAAAAUAACCACAUCACACAGUUAUGAAGACAGAGUGCACGAUGUACACGAUGUAUAUAUUUUCACUAAUGAUGUAACUACAAGGUUAGUGAUGGAAACAUGGAGGGGGGGUUAUUGCAGCAAUGACAAACCACACAAAUAAUAUCAGAAAAUGUACUUUAAAAAAAAAAAAAA
Molecule: long non-coding RNA, 4335 nt
Organism: Oreochromis niloticus (Nile tilapia)
Lineage: Eukaryota; Metazoa; Chordata; Actinopteri; Cichliformes; Cichlidae
Exons: 2
Source: RefSeq, a predicted model, not a curated record